This 484-nucleotide ribosomal RNA is filed under the name uncultured bacterium. RNAcentral describes it as "bacterial SSU rRNA". It matches the Rfam family "Bacterial small subunit ribosomal RNA", at positions 23 to 486 of the family's 1533-position model. The record is from RNAcentral.
CUCAGAUUGAACGCUGGCGGCAGGCUUAACACAUGCAAGUCGAGCGGAAACGACAACAUUGAAUCUUCGGAGGAUUUGUUGGGCGUCGAGCGGCGGACGGGUGAGUAAUGCCUAGGAAAUUGCCUUGAUGUGGGGGAUAACCAUUGGAAACGAUGGCUAAUACCGCAUAAUGCCUACGGGCCAAAGAGGGGGACCUUCGGGCCUCUCGCGUCAAGAUAUGCCUAGGUGGGAUUAGCUAGUUGGUGAGGUAAUGGCUCACCAAGGCGACGAUCCCUAGCUGGUCUGAGAGGAUGAUCAGCCACACUGGAACUGAGACACGGUCCAGACUCCUACGGGAGGCAGCAGUGGGGAAUAUUGCACAAUGGGGGAAACCCUGAUGCAGCCAUGCCGCGUGUGUGAAGAAGGCUUUCGGGUUGUAAAGCACUUUCAGCGAGGAGGAAAGGGUGUUGCUUAAUACGUAACAUCUGUGACGUUACUCGCAAUG